CGUCGGGCUCACCAGCCAGACAGACAGACGGACAAGCGCUCUGCUCCGCCGGCGUUUGGCAGUUACAUCUGAUGAAGAACUGCUUCCUAUCAUACUUUUCAGAUAGUUUUAUCUGGAAUAGAUGGCUUUGUCGCCUUUGGUGCAGGGUAUGCAGUGUGGGAGCUAAGACCCGAUGGAUAUGAUGUCUGUCCAUCUGAAGAGCCCUCAUCACUAGUGAUGUUGGAAUCCCUGAUGGACUUCAUUUGAACUGAACGGAAAAAUCAAGAUGACAAAUAAAUUCCCUUCACAUGGUAUGAGAAUUGGCUGAAUAGUGAAAGCACAGCCAAAUUAAUAACCCCAGAGAUGGAAAACUGCACUGUGAAUUUAACGGUUUUCUGUUCUGUUUAGCUAGCUGAUUUCUCAACAUACGGAUAGCUUUAGACCAACCCAAGCACAUGAAUCCCCUUGCCAAGGCAGAAAUUUGGGGGUGUGGAAGAGAGCCAAAAUUGCUCAGUCAGGACAGGGGAGCAGGAGAUAUGAAGAAAAACUGAACUCAUCAUGAUGAGCAGCCGUAGGCAUCAAGUCAUUAGAGAAGAGCCAUGUACAAAACAUAGAAUGGAGAUCCAGAAGAAAUUAUGCUCAGUGUCCUUCCUGCCUGCACAUGCUACCUGUGCCUCAAGUUCCCCCAGGACACUUGCUGCAAGCUUAAGAUUUGUUUGUUUGUUUAUUUGUUUUUUAAUUUCUACAUCAGCCUUCCUUUUCCCAAAGGCUGAAAAGGUCUUCCAGUCUCUCUGCCCCUGAUCAAAAUAUUGUGUCAUAGGUCUUCCCAGGAGAAAAUGCACCAUUUGUAGAGCUGAGGUACUGCUGCUCUCUUCAAGUGGAAGACAACAGUGGUCCAAAGCUGCCAUUUCUGCACCAACAUCUCUGGUGUAUGAUUUCCACACCCCUCACAAGGCUAACAGGCAAAGGAGGAGGGCAGUCUGCCGAAAGCUCUUCCUGACUGAGCUUCCAGACAUGUAGGCAGCACAUCACCAAACGGAAGGGAGUUUUAUAGGCAUAUUCAAUUUAAAUCACAUAUAUUCGUCUUAAGUGCAGAGGAAAAAGGAAACUUCACUCACAAUACCUGCCUUACCAAUGAAGUUGCCAUAUGUGGAAUUCAGGUUGCAGCUAAGAACUUCUGGGCUUUUUAACAACUGUGAGUAUACAUCAUGGUUGGUUUCAUAAACUAAAAUGAAUACAGUCUUUGACAGCAGAUUAUCUUCCCUGAAUUUUUACUAUGAGCCAAGCUGUCUUUAAAAGUCACUUCUUUCUUUUUUCUGAGUUGCAAUUUGUUUGGUUCUUGAUUCAGCAGGUGCUUUGCUUCAAGACCUUGGUAAGAACCAUUUGAGCAGGGUGGGAAAAUCCUUCCCAAUCCUGAGUUACUUGGAAGCCUGUGAACAUGGGCGAAGGGCUCUGAACCAUGAGAAGGAGGAAAAGAAUGCUCAGGUAGACAUGAAGCUCAUCGGUGGUCAUCUCCCUCCCAUGCCUGUACUCCUCCUUGUGUGUCCCAUCAAUUCACCACAGGGUAAUGUUAGUUAUUCAAGACACUCAAGAAUCCACUCAAACAAACCGAGGGAUUUCCAAGUGUCAUAUUUUCAGAUGUGAAAUGCUCCAUGUCAUGAGCCUUCCCAUAUCCACAAACAUCUACUGCCUCCAGGGCUGCACGGUGAACUGUGUCUAAGGGAAGAGGGGUAUAAUAUGCCUAGAAAGUUUUCUUCUGUUGUAUCAGAUGUAUCUUCACCUUGGUAGUGGAAAGCUAGCUUUAAAAGGUCGGGUCAGCUGGAGGAUCACUUAUAGCUACUUUCUACAUGGCUUGCUUCUAACUGUGAUCCAUCAUGCAUAUCAGACUAAUGGAUUACAGUGCAGCAACUUUAGCUUCAUCUUCCUUUAUCUUGGAAAAUCUGGGUAACAGUAUUAAGUGUAUUUUUCCAUAAAUAAUUUGUAUGAGGAGGCCAACCUUGUAAUUGCAAUGGAAAAUAUUUGUUUUUUGUUAUUUCUCCCAAUCAUGUGUAAAUUCCUCCUGCCUACUUGACUAAGACUGUCACGAAAGAAAAAAUACUUAAAAGGCAAUGUUGAAAAUACUCUGUGAAACACCAGAAGCUUAAAACAAAACAGUAGGGUAGGGAAAGCCAAAGCAAGACAAAGUAAAUUCCAGACAGCCAGCCAAAUUCCACAGAUAAUCAUUAAUCUGGAAAAAAAUCCUUGCAAUUUCUAAGACUAUUGGAAGCGGAUGUUGGUUGCUGCUGGUUUAAACUCUCCAGUGUUUAAAUACUUACUUCUGCAUAAAUAACAUUGCCAUUGCUCAUCUACCACAGCGACAGCAGGAGAGGUGAAUCACGUGCGCUGGUUCGGACACAAACCUCAUCCCGCCCAUGACCUGCCACGAAUGCGAAGUCCGCCGGCUGCAAACCGUGUGCAAACAUCACUCCCAGCUCUAAUUUUCAACAAUUUUCUUUUCAAAAAGCCCUAAUGAGAUGGUGUUUACAGAGCCCUUCUUGUGCGUGUCAGGGGUGCCGGGGAGCCUGGCAGCUGGUGGUGCAGCCCAGCCCCACGGCUCCGGGGUGCGCAGCCAGAUCUGGGCUCCAUCGGGCCAAAAAAACUUUCUUCAGGCCACAUCAAUUAACAAUCCCCUGCAUUUCUAUCUCAAUUCCCUUUCAGGCAACCCAGAUUUUUUGUAGCUUGGUCCUUAAUGCCUGUGCCAUCUUCUCACGUGGCUCUUUACUCCAUUUAUUACAAUGUUGGUGUUCUCAGUGUCUCAAAUUUUUCCAAUAGCUGUUUUUGCCAAGAAAAUAGAAUGAAACCAGAAGGUUUUAUUAUCAGCCCAAGAGCAAUCUAUUGAGGUAACACUGCCUUUACAGACAGACAUUUCUGCUUGGUCUGUCAGUCUCUUUCAUUUCCCCGUCAGAAAAUAAAUGUCUGUGCUAUAAAGAAAGGUUUAAAAUGGGACAGUUGUGAUUCUGGUCUCUUCGGAGUGGACUGUAAUUGUGCUUCUAUAAAUAAAAUAUCAAAAGCUAUUAA
Molecule: long non-coding RNA, 3036 nt
Organism: Tyto alba (common barn owl)
Lineage: Eukaryota; Metazoa; Chordata; Aves; Strigiformes; Tytonidae
Exons: 3
Source: RefSeq, a predicted model, not a curated record